GGGGGGGGGGGCUAGGAUGAAAUUUGAAAAAAAUAGGAGAGGACAGGAGUUUGAGUAAAAAAAAGGCAGGAUGAGACACUUGCAAAAAAAAAAAAGUCAGGACGACAAUUUAGGUAAAAAAAAAGUCAGGAUAAACUAAAAAAAAAAAAGGCAGGACCGAACAGAGUGAAAAAUAAAAAGGCAGGACAGAGAUUACAGCUAAAAAAAAAUGCAGGAGAAUAUUUUUCAUCCUAGCUCCCCCCCCCCCCCCC
RNAcentral lists this long non-coding RNA (251 nucleotides) under Mytilus galloprovincialis (Mediterranean mussel). The record is from RNAcentral. Lineage: Eukaryota; Metazoa; Mollusca; Bivalvia; Mytilida; Mytilidae.